GCAGUUAAAAAGCUCGUAGUUGGAUUUCGGAACCGGCCGAUUGGUCCGUCCUCUGGAUCGUGUACUGAUCGGUCUGUUCUUCUUCGCGAAGACCGCGUGUGCUCUUAACUGAGUGGGCGUGGGAUUCGCGACGUUUACUUUGAAAAAAUUAGAGUGUUCAAAGCAGGCAGUCGCUUGAAUAUCUCAGCAUGGAAUAAUAGAAUAGGACUUUGGUCUUAUUUUGUUGGUUUCCGAGACCGAAGUAAUGAUUAAUAGGGACAGUUGGGGGCAUUCGUAUUUCAUUGUCAGAGGUGAAAUUCUUGGAUUUAUGAAAGACGAACUUCUGCGAAAGCAUUUGCCAAGGAUGUUUUCAUUAAUCAAGAACGAAAGUUGGAGGCUCGAAGACGAUCAGAUACCGUCCUAGUUCCAACCAUAAACGAUGCCGUCUGCGGAUCGGAGGUCGCUCAUGUAAGGCUCCUUCGGCACGCUAUGAGAAAUCAAAGACUUCGGGUUCCGGGGGGAGUAUGUUCGCAAGAAUGAAACUUAAAGGAAUUGACGGAAGGGCACCACCAGGAGUGG
RNAcentral lists this ribosomal RNA (558 nucleotides) under uncultured marine eukaryote. Its description in RNAcentral is "SSU rRNA". It matches the Rfam family "Eukaryotic small subunit ribosomal RNA", at positions 615 to 1179 of the family's 1831-position model. The record is from RNAcentral.